Molecule: non-coding RNA, 148 nt
Organism: Camponotus floridanus (Florida carpenter ant)
Lineage: Eukaryota; Metazoa; Arthropoda; Insecta; Hymenoptera; Formicidae
Source: Rfam
UUCGUUUUUCAGCAUUCUGGCGUUGGCAACAUAAAUAUGUACAGCCCAGACGAAGUGGCGUAGCUCCAUUUUUCCAAGUAGUAUUUGCUGGUAUGAUUGGGUUCUAUGUGCUGAAUUACAGCAAAUUACGUGAGUAGAAGAAUAUCAA